Long non-coding RNA from Canis lupus familiaris (dog), 483 nucleotides. RefSeq lists it as uncharacterized. The transcript is spliced from 3 exons. The record is from RefSeq and is a predicted model, not a curated record. Lineage: Eukaryota; Metazoa; Chordata; Mammalia; Carnivora; Canidae.
CCCUGAUUAUGGGCAAGGGGAGAGGAGCAGAAAGUUGAAGCCAUCACCAAUAACCAAUGAUUUAAUUAGUCAUGCCUAUGUAAUGAAGCCUCCAUAAAAACCCAAAAGGACGAGGCUGCAGAAUGAGAAAGACAUAGUUCAUGAGGAGGGACAAGAGGAGGAUACUUUCAAGAGAGGUCAGAAAAUACCAGCACUCAAGAGAGUCUUGAUGUAAGAAUCAUAUCAGGAAAACAUUCCCUACAUUUGAGAAUGGUGCCCCAGGGAAUGGCUCCUCUGGGUUUGGCCCCCAAAGCCCCAUGUGCUAUGGCAAAAGCAGAGAAAUCGUUUUCAGACUUCAGAAGGAGUUCCUGUGUCUCCUUCUUCCACAAAGCUCACAGCCUGAUCCAGCUGAGAUUCAUGCAAAAGAAACCCAAGAUUUAAAUAAAACAUGUUUUAUUUAAAACGUGUUUGCUUUGUGAGGAUACAAGUCUUGGUUCAGACAUG